Non-coding RNA from Paramuricea clavata, 2719 nucleotides. NCBI's taxonomy places the organism in Eukaryota, Metazoa, Cnidaria, Anthozoa, Malacalcyonacea, Plexauridae. The record is from the annotation of a GenBank genome assembly.
GGAAUUUAAAUCUAUAUAUAACUUUGUCUUUUUGCCACUUCAAAAGUGGAUAAAAAGUAGACGAAAAGUUAAGGUUAUAGCCUUACUUUUUUGGCACUUUUUCAAAGAUAGGAAAAAUAUCUAAAGGAAUUUAAAGAAUUUCAAGAAUGUCAUGCAGGAAUGUAAAUCUAUAUAAUUGAUUGUGAUCAACUGCAAGGUCUGGCCAAACUUACAUCGGUGCUUUUUGUUCGUGGCAUGAGAUUGGGGCAGCUCGCUUGUGGGCCACGAAAGAUCAAGCCGAAGUACAACCAAACCACUGAUUUGUGGCCAGCUUUUUGUCUGUAUUGGCUUUACCCAGCGUUUUCCCGUUAUCAUUUUGAUGCAGACUUUGGGAAUUGGCUUGAAUAUCUUUAAUAUAAACGUUCUUUGAGGUUUAAUCUUUCCAGAAUUUCAUGGUUUUUGACUAGUUAAGGUGUUGCUUGCAGAUAUAUAAUUGUAUUAAAAAAAUUUAACCAAUAAAAUUGAAAACUAGUGUGACCAGAUAUUUUGCAAGGCAAUUACUAAAUAAGCAUGCAAAAAAUUACUAAAACGCAGAACAAAUUACUAAAUUUCUGCUCAACCAAAGUGGUCUGAAAACCAAUAAAACAUCUCAGCAAAACAAAAUCAGUAAAACGCUUUCCAUCACUGAAACUAUGUUUUUUUCCAGUUUUUCUUUCUCACUUGUACAGUUGAUUGAAUUUGUGCAAAAUGCAAAUAUGGCACCGCAAUGAUUGGGCCCGGGCCCUGGCUCCCUAGCACGCAAUCAGCACAGGGUGAAUGGUGAUCAGCAGGAUUCCGUCGAUUCAGCUAGGCAGUUUGGGCCAGUAGCUUGCAAUUUGGAUGUACAGCUUUGCAGGCAUGGACCUGUAACUGUUCUCAUUGGAUUUUGAAUAACAAGUUGUGUCAUUAUGGCGUAUUUGGUUGAAUUUCAUGCGAUAACCAAAAUAUUACUAACUUUAAAGCCCGCCGCACACGAGCGCACUUGUCACGCGUACUUGUUAUUCGUGACAAGUUGGAUCUACAAAAUUUCCUUGUGUGCGGGGGCAACAUUUACUGCAUUUUCGUCAUCGUGACAUGUAAACCAAAUAUCAAACAUGUUUGAUAUUUUUCGUCAUUCGUGACAAAAAAAUUCUCGUGUGCGGCGAGCAAACGACAAGUUCGCCUGAAUAGGAAAAUUCGCGCAUGCGUGCAACUUGCAGAAUUAAAAACAAGACACGAGCUCGUGAUUUUGAUCCGCCAUGUUGUUUUUAAUUCUGCAAGUUGCACGCAUGCGCAAAUUUUCCUAUUCAGGCGCGCUUGUCGUUUGCUCGCCGCACACGAGAAUUUUUUUGUCACGAAUGACGAAAAAUAUCAAACAUGUUUGAUAUUUGGUUUACACGUCACGAAUGCCGUAAAUGUUGCCCGCACACGAGGAAAUUUUGUCGAUCCAACUUGUCACGAAUAACAAGUACGCGCGACAAGUGCGCCCGUGUGCGGCGGGCUUAAGAGAAACCAAAAAUUUUCAAUUACCAAAAAAGUCAGAAAAAUUGCGAAAUAUUACCAAAAGUAAUUAAAAUUACCAAAUCUGGUCACGCUGUUGAAAACUGACCAAAACGUCACUUGAGGUGUCGGAUGGGAGGUCCAGUGGGAGUCGUAGCGGAUAACAAUGGAUAAAUACGGAUUACCGUUUAUUAUUGAAGAUCGAUACUGUGAAUGUUAAUGGAUUAUUAUGAACAAUAAUGGAUUAUUCUGAACAUUGAUGGAUUACACAAACACUUCAGGAUUAUUGUGAACAUUAGUGGAUAAAAUGUACCUCGCGAUCGACUGUUACCUAGCAAUGUACCUUGAUAACGAAAGCUGCACGACGGCAACGAGAGGACUGCCUCAAGGUUAGGGACGGACCAUUAGAAAAGUGAUGGGGUUGGAGCAAAACCAAAAAAUUUAUUCCCAGAAAAAAAUUAAGAAAAAAAAAUCUUUCCAGGCAUAGUGCAAAAAAAAAAUUCCUUGCUUCGAAGAUAGGCCAAGUGGUGUACUGGAGGGAGGACUCAGGGGGGCUGAGCCCCCCUUGUUGAAAUUUCAUGUUGACUUGGGGGGCUGCACGUUGGUCAAAUUUAGCAAAAUUUCUCCCACUCGUGCGGGUUCGUAUUGACAGCGGACAUCUUACAGAAAGUGGCCAGUUCUCUGAAAAAUGCAAAAGUUUCAAUUUUACACCGCAAGUCCACUGACAAUAUGAGCCUGCGGUCCUGGGAGAAAGAUACAUGCUAUCAGGGCGCUAUAAAACACGGGCGGUGAAACGGAGAUAGCGCCCCUGAUUUUUGUGUGAUGCGCGUACCCCCCGUAUACAUUAAUUUAAUGUCAAUAAAAAUGGAAAUGGAUGCAAAAACGAGCUGAAAAAACUAAAGUAAAAAAUGUUUUCUGCACAUUCCUAAACAACUUGAUGGUUUGAAGACAUUGUUGGAUUCAUUUUCUGUAUAUCUGAUGAAGGAAAGAGGGCUUUAAAGAUUCAUCAUGAGCGAAAUAAAAAUUUGAAAAGGAUCGAGUUGAUCGAAUGUGGGCAUAUUCCAAAAAUAUUAUACGAAAAUUUAUUAGCGCGUUUCCCCGCCCGUGUUUUAUAGCGCCCUGAUCAUAGAGAUUAUAAAUAACACUAGAGGAGGCAUCGAGUUUAAAAAUUGGGAACGCAGCUAAUGGGGGGCAAAUUCAAGUCCCGGAUAAAAAAUCGUGC